Molecule: ribosomal RNA, 253 nt
Filed under: uncultured bacterium
Lineage: Bacteria
Description: partial 16S ribosomal RNA
Rfam family: Bacterial small subunit ribosomal RNA
Source: RNAcentral
GACAGAGGGUGCAAACGUUGUUCGGAAUUAUUGGGCGUAAAGCGCGUGUAGGCGGCUUUGCAAGUCGGGUGUGAAAGCCCUCGGCUCAACCGAGGAAGUGCGCCCGAAACUGCAGAGCUUGAGUACCGGAGAGGAUGGCGGAAUUCCCCAAGUAGAGGUGAAGUUCGUAGAUAUGGGGAGGAACACCGGUGGCGAAGGCGGCCAUCUGGACGGAUACUGACGCUGAGACGCGAAAGCGUGGGUAGCAAACAGG